GUCCACGCCCUAACGAUGUCAACUGGGUGUUCGGGAAGCGAUUCCUGGGUACCGUAGCUAACGCGUGAAGUUGACCGCCUGGGAGUACGGCCGCAAGGUUAAACUCAAAGGAAUUGACGGGGACCCGCACAAGCGGUGGAUGAUGUGGAUUAAUUCGAUGCAACGCGAACAACCUUACCUACCCUUGACAUGUCCGAGAGCCCGCUGAGAGGUGGGUGUGCCCGAAAGGGAAUCGGAACACAGGUGCUGCAUGGCUGUCGU
This 261-nucleotide ribosomal RNA is filed under the name uncultured bacterium. Its description in RNAcentral is "partial 16S ribosomal RNA". It matches the Rfam family "Bacterial small subunit ribosomal RNA", at positions 793 to 1055 of the family's 1533-position model. The record is from RNAcentral.